AAAAAUAAUAAAAAAAAAAAUUAUAUAAAAGUAUCGAUGACAAUAUUGUAAUAACAUCAAAAAAUAUAUAAAAAGUAAUUCAAAGGGGUUAUUAAGGAAAACUAAGGCAAAUUUAUAACAAAAGGAGGUAUAUAACCAAAAGCUUAUCCAGCGUCAAGCCCGUAUUAGUUAAGCGAUCCUAAGGGAAACCUUGUUAAUUAAUCACUUUCUGAAGUAAAACAUUUUAUUAGGGAAAGGAAAGGAAAUCAACCGAGACUCCGAAAGUAAUGGUGAGUGAAAUCGGAUUAGCCUAAUUAAUUUAAUAAAUUGAAUAACGAAAAUAUUCAAAUAAUUUGUUAAGUUAUAUUAUUUAAUCUUUUUAGAUUAUUCUGUAUACUAAAAUAAUUCCAAUCAAAGUACGAUGAGAGAAAACUUGUCGGAAUAUAGGGGUACCAUCCUCUAAGGCUAAGUAUUAUAAAUUUAGCGAUAGUGAAUAAGUACUGUAAAGGAAAAGUUUGAAAAGCGAGUGGAAAACAAAAAAGUGAAUUUAUAAAAUAUAAAAUUUAUAAAUGAAUCGGUGAAAUAGAUCAUGAAUUAGUAACUCUAUAAGCAGUCGAAAUUCUACUUGAAAACAUAAAAGACAAAUGAAUGACGGCGUACCUUUUGCAUAAUGGGUCAGCAAGUUAAUAGGAGUAGCAAGGUUAAAAGCCCUAGCGAAAGCGACUGGACUAUAACAACAAAUAUAGUGAUGGGAAAGUUACUUCUAUUAGACCCGAAGCCAGGUGAUCUUACCAAGACCAGAUUAUAAUGGAUCGAACGGGUGAAUGUUGCAUAAUUCUCCGAUGAGUUUUGGUAAGCGGUGAAAUGCCAAUCUGACCUGGUGCUAGCUGGUUUUCUACCGAAACAUAUUUAAGUAUGACGUCUACACAAAAUUUAUGGAGGUACAGCAAGGCAAUUCCCAACAAGUUUAAGGGUUGUACUAUUAAAUCUUAAUAAUACUUCUACCUUUUAGGCGUUUAGGUUGCGGGGACCUCGAAAAUCUUACCUUUGGAAGCGAAUCUCGGAAUUACAUAAAUUGAUGGUAGAUAUUCAGACUACUCAUGCUAAGUUGGGUAGUCAAGACGGAAACAGCCGAGAACACUGAUCAAGGUCCCAAAUGAUUGUUAAGUGAAAUUAAGGACGUAGCAAUAUCGUAUACAGCUGUGAAGUGAGCCUGGUAGUCGCUACUUUUAAUGAUCGUAUGUAACAACGCAUCAGCAGUCUAGAUAGUGGCGCCGAAAAUUUAACGGGUCUUAAACAAUCAACCGAUAUCGUGUUGAUUUAGAGUAUUUAGAAUUAAAUAUAUUUUAUAUUAAAUAUAAAUAUUAUUUAGCCUUUAUAUCUCUAAAUCUAGGUAGUAGAACAUUCAGUCAAACUAAUCAUAAAAUAGUGUUUCAUUAUUUUUUAGGUUACUGAAGAGAGAAUGCUGACAUGAGUAACGUAAAAAGAAGUUAUAAUACUUCUCGCCGAAUACGAAAGGGUUGCAAAUAGGAAAGGUUAAUCCAUUUUGUUUGAAUGCGGCCUCUAAGGACCAAAACCAAAGUUUUGGCUGAUGAGUAUAUAAUAGAAAGUCCAUUUUUUAUGGACCAGGAAAUUAAUAUUAUAAGUAAUAAUUAUAGUAUCUUGGGAAUUAUAAGUUCUUAUAAAUAUUUACAUAUAUAAACUAAUACUAAUGAUUCUAAAUUUUACUAUAGUGCGAUGUCGACUCAUCCUAUCCUCCGGGGGAAGAAGCUUGGAAGGGUUCGGCUGUUCGCCGAUUAAAAGGGUACGUGAGUUGGGUUUAAUACGACGUGAGUCAGUAUGGUCCCUAUCUUCUGGAGGGAUAAUUAGUAAAAAGGGGCAGACCUUCUAGUACGAAAGGAUCAAUAGGCUGUGUUUCUCUAGUGUACCAAUUGUUUGUAGUAUUUUGUUAGGGACUCUAUUCUAAAAUAAUAGAGGAAAAUCCUUUUGAACUUUAGGCUAAAAAAGUUCUUUAAUUUAAAUACCCUUAAAUAAGGUUAUGAUAAAAGGUCACAAAAUAGGAACGCAUAGUUGGGUAGCCACAAACAUAAUAGAUAAGUGCUGAAUGUCUAUAAAGCAAGAAUCUAACCCCUAGAUACUUUAAAAUUGAUAUUUUAAUUACAAGCUUAAUAUUUUAAGUCUGGAUUAAUUAUCAUUAAUUAAGAAAUAGAACAUUUCUAGAUAGGCUGCAAAUGAAACAUAUUGUAAAAUAUUUAGUUUAGCAGUACUAAUUUAUAAAGAAACUCGAUG
This 2268-nucleotide ribosomal RNA is filed under the name Asterophora parasitica. Its description in RNAcentral is "23S ribosomal RNA". It matches the Rfam family "Bacterial large subunit ribosomal RNA". The record is from RNAcentral. Lineage: Eukaryota; Fungi; Basidiomycota; Agaricomycetes; Agaricales; Lyophyllaceae.